Amblyraja radiata (thorny skate) is the source of this 77-nucleotide long non-coding RNA. RefSeq lists it as uncharacterized. Lineage: Eukaryota; Metazoa; Chordata; Chondrichthyes; Rajiformes; Rajidae. The record is from RefSeq and is a predicted model, not a curated record. The transcript has 3 exons.
AGGUGUCAGGCGGAGUUUAGUCGUGUGGUGUGAGGUUUAGUUGAGCGGCGAGGUUUAGUGAGGUACGGUUUAGUCGA